This 453-nucleotide ribosomal RNA is filed under the name uncultured Bacteroides sp. RNAcentral's name for it is "partial 16S ribosomal RNA". It matches the Rfam family "Bacterial small subunit ribosomal RNA", at positions 341 to 792 of the family's 1533-position model. Lineage: Bacteria; Pseudomonadati; Bacteroidota; Bacteroidia; Bacteroidales; Bacteroidaceae. The record is from RNAcentral.
ACGGAAGGCAGCAGUGAGGAAUAUUGGUCAAUGGACGUAAGUCUGAACCAGCCAAGUAGCGUGAGGGAUGACGGCCAUAUGGUUGUAAACCUCUUUUGCGAGGGAAUAAAGUGCGUCACGUGUGGUGCAUUGCAUGUACCUUGCGAAUAAGGAUCGGCUAACUCCGUGCCAGCAGCCGCGGUAAUACGGAGGAUCCGAGCGUUAUCCGGAUUUAUUGGGUUUAAAGGGAGCGUAGGCGGGAAGUCAAGUCAGCUGUGAAAUGUAGUCGCUCAACGUCUGCACUGCAGUUGAAACUGGUUUUCUUGAGUGCGUAAGAGGCAGGUGGAAUUUGUCGUGUAGCGGUGAAAUGCUUAGAUAUGGCGAAGAACUCCGAUUGCGUAGGCAGCUGACCAGGCCGUAAAUGACGCUCAUGCACGAAAGUGCGGGGAUCGAACAGGAUUAGAUACCCUGGUA